Molecule: long non-coding RNA, 448 nt
Filed under: Equus caballus (horse)
Lineage: Eukaryota; Metazoa; Chordata; Mammalia; Perissodactyla; Equidae
Description: lncRNA (ENSECAG00000049960.1)
Source: RNAcentral
CAACGGAGGAAGCGCCCCAGGGAAUUAGGUGCAAGGGCCUGAGAAGGACGCACCAAGUAGAGGCUGCGGAGCAGCCUGGAAGGAGGGAAGGAAGUGCAGGUGGGUGUGGGGGUGCCAGGUGGAAGGCGUAGAGGGCAGGAUGUCCUUGGACGUCGCAGAGCCCAAGGAGGUGAGGACAGGGCUGAGGGCGGGGACCUGGAACCCUAGAUGACCGAGGCAGACUUUGGGGGCGGGGUGCCUCUCGAAGGCUCAGAGCUCUUUGCCCGGUCGGACGUCUUUCACCCCUCAGAGGAACAGCACAGUCUAAGGAGCUGUUUCAAUUGUUCAGUCCCCGUGCCUGUUGAUUACUUGGUUUUGCCAAAAGGCUUGGUGGGUGUUGGCAUUCCAACUUCUGCUUUCAAAGUAACAGGCCCAGAUCCGUCUGGUUCAGAGGACUUUUCGCCAGCAG